This 69-nucleotide transfer RNA is filed under the name Oxysarcodexia varia. RNAcentral describes it as "tRNA-Glu". The record is from RNAcentral. Lineage: Eukaryota; Metazoa; Arthropoda; Insecta; Diptera; Sarcophagidae.
GUUUAUAUAGUUUAAAAUAAAACAUUACAUUUUCAUUGUAAAAUUAAAAACUUAAUUUUUUAUAAAUUA